AAGAGCAACAGAGGAGAGAAGAGGCAGAGAGAUCAGAGCUGAAGAGCAACAGAGGAGAGAAGAGGCAGAGAGAUCAGAGCUGAAGAGCAACAGAGGAGAGAAGAGGCAGAGAGAUCAGAGCUGAAGAGCAACAGAGGAGAGAAGAGGCAGAGAGAUCAGAGCUGAAGAGCAACAGAGGAGAGAAGAGGCAGAGAGAUCAGAGCUGAAGAGCAACGGAGGAGAGAAGAGGCAGAGAGAUCAGAGCUGAAGAGCAACGGAGGAGAGAAGAGGCAGAGAGAUCAGAGCUGAAGAGCAACGGAGGAGAGAAGAGGCAGAAGAUCAGAGCUGAAGAGCAACAGAGGAGAGAAGAGGCAGAGAGAUCAGAGCUGAAGAGCAACGGAGGAGAGAAGAGGCAGAAAGAUCAGAGCUGAAGAGCAACGGAGGAGAGAAGAGGCAGAGAGAGGUGAAGUUUUGUACACCAGCUUCAAACAGCUGAAAAUACUAUACUGGUUAUGGAAAAGCUACUUCACAGCGGUUUAGGGUACAAGGAUUCUCUACACUAUACAUGCUGGUUUUGUCAAACUGAAAGUAGGUGAACUCUUCCAACUUUAUCAACCAGGAAAUGGCGGAGGGAUCUCUGCAUAGGACAUCUUUACUAUAUUAAUAUAUCUACUUUGGAGAGAUGAUACUAUUCGUUUCCAUUAUUCUUAUUCUGGUCAAUUCUAUUCUUUUUUUGGGGGG
Oncorhynchus tshawytscha (Chinook salmon) is the source of this 720-nucleotide long non-coding RNA. The record is from Ensembl. NCBI's taxonomy places the organism in Eukaryota, Metazoa, Chordata, Actinopteri, Salmoniformes, Salmonidae.